GAUGAAGAACGUAGCGAAAUGCGAUAAGUAAUGUGAAUUGCAGAAUUCAGUGAAUCAUCGAAUCUUUGAACGCACAUUGCGCCCGCCAGUAUUCUGGCGGGCAUGCCUGUCCGAGCGUCAUUUCAACCCUCGAACCCCUCCGGGGGGUCGGCGUUGGGGACCUCGGGAGCCCCUAAGACGGGAUCCCGGCCCCGAAAUACAGUGGCGGUCUCGCCGCAGCCUCUCCUGCGCAGUAGUUUGCACAACUCGCACCGGGAGCGCGGCGCGUCCACGUCCGUAAAACACCCAACUUCUGAAAUGUUGACCUCGGAUCAGGUAGGAAUACCCGCUGAACUUAAGAAUAUCAAUAAGCGGAGGA
Molecule: unclassified non-coding RNA, 358 nt
Filed under: soil metagenome
Description: partial contains 5.8S ribosomal RNA, internal transcribed spacer 2, and large subunit ribosomal RNA
Rfam family: 5.8S ribosomal RNA (bases 1-120)
Source: RNAcentral